CCUUACAUGUAAAUCAACUCGGGAAUCUGUUUGAAUACGAUGGGAUGGCACUUGGCGUUUGACUCCUUGGCCUCCCUUUGGUUGGCAGGGGCAGCCAUGUUGUGUGCUCCCCUCCCAACCAAAACCAAACCCCGGCACUCAAUGUGCCAAGGAACAAAAAUUGGUUCAGUGCACCCAUGUUGGCACCGGAGACGGUGCUAAUGUGGAGGUGUUUUGAUGCAUGGUAUAUACAAAUGACUCUCGGCAACGGAUAUCUAGGCUCUUGCAUCGAUGAAGAACGUAGCGAAAUGCGAUACUUGGUGUGAAUUGCAGAAUCCCGUGAACCAUCGAGUUUUUGAACGCAAGUUGCGCCCGAAGCCAUUAGGUUGAGGGCACGUCUGCUUGGGCGUCACAUAUCGUUGCCCAAUGCCUAUUGAUAGGCUUUGUAGGGCGAAUGAUGGCUUCCCGUGAGCACUGUUCUCUCAUGGUUGGCUGAAAAUGAGUCAUUGGUAGGGUGCGUGCCAUGAUAAAUGGUGGUUGUGUGACCCACGAGACCGAUCAUGUGCAGCUCUUACCAAGUUUGGCCUUUAUGACCCACUAGCGUCCUUGGAUGCUCAUGAUGAGAAAACGGGCAGGUGA
Molecule: ribosomal RNA, 618 nt
Filed under: Onobrychis crista-galli var. crista-galli
Lineage: Eukaryota; Viridiplantae; Streptophyta; Magnoliopsida; Fabales; Fabaceae
Description: eukaryotic LSU rRNA
Rfam family: 5.8S ribosomal RNA (bases 236-391)
Source: RNAcentral